This 1149-nucleotide long non-coding RNA is filed under the name Chloebia gouldiae (Gouldian finch). Its description in RNAcentral is "Erythrura gouldiae (Gouldian finch) lncRNA (ENSEGOG00005017857.1)". The record is from RNAcentral. Lineage: Eukaryota; Metazoa; Chordata; Aves; Passeriformes; Passeridae.
UUGGGUUGGGAAUUCCAAAGGGAUUUUGUGAUCCAAAGGGGUUUUGGGAUGGGAUUCCAAAGGGAUUUUGGGCUGAGAUUCUGAAGGGAUUUUGGGCUGGGAUUCCAAAGGGAUUUUUGGAUGGGAUUCCAAAGGGAUUUUGGGAUGGGAUUUCAAAGGGAUUUUGGGUUGGGAUUCCAAAGGAAUUUUGGGAUGGGAAUUCCAAAGGGAUUUUGGGACUGGGAAGGAAUUUUGGGAUGGGAAUUCCAAAAGGAAUUUUGGGCCGGGAAUUCCCUGCCUGAUCCCGCAUUUCCCGCUCAGGGCGCCGGCCUGGAGGCGCUGCCGGAGCGAUUCCAAGCGGCGCCGCCGCCGCUGCUGGAGCAGAAACCCGGAAUGUUCUCCCAGUCCUUCCCUCCUUCCUCCUCCUCCUCCUCCUCCUCCUCCUCCUCCUCCUCCUCCUCCUCGGCCUCUCCCGGGAAUUUCCCGGGAAUGCUGAGGCCGAAGGCGCCCUUCGGAGCCGUUCCGGUGGCCGUGGCUGCUCCUCCUCCUCCUCCUCCUCCUCCUCCUCCUCCUCCUCCUCCUCUUCCCGCUGCUCCGGCUCGCGGCGCGUUUCCGGCACAUUCCGGCGGCUCGGCGACGCGACCGCCGGGCCGGGCGCUGCCCGCGCCCAACGCGCUGCGGCUGCAGCUGCAGCAGCGCCUGCAGGGCCAGCAGCAGGUCAGCCCCAAACAGCAGGAAAAAUCACCAANNNNNNNNNNUCCCGAAAAUAUCCGGAAAAAAUCGGGAAAAAAUGGCCAAAAAAUCAUGAAAAAAUCGUGAAAAAAUCAGAAAGAAAUGACCAAAAAAUCACGAAAAAAAUCGUGAAAAAAUCCCCAAAAAAUCAGAAAAAAAUGCCCAAAAAACCCCCCCAAAAUACCGAAAAUAUCCGGAAAAAAUCGGGAAAAAUGGCAGAAAAAUCAUGAAAAAAUCGUGAAAAAAUCCCCAAAAAAUCAGAAAAAAAUGCCCAAAAAACCCCCCCAAAAUCCCGAAAAUAUCCGGAAAAAAUCGGGAAAAAAUGGCCAAAAAAUCGUGAAAAAAACACAAAAAAAAUAACGAAAAAAUCAGAAAAAAAUGACCAAAAAGUCCUGAAAAAAAUCACGAAAAUAUCAGAAAAAAACCGCCCAAAAAGUC